Molecule: ribosomal RNA, 484 nt
Filed under: uncultured bacterium
Lineage: Bacteria
Description: partial 16S ribosomal RNA
Rfam family: Bacterial small subunit ribosomal RNA
Source: RNAcentral
AUUGAACGCUGGCGGCAUGCUUUACAUAUGCAAGUCGAACGGCAGCGCGGGCUUCGGCCUGGCGGCGAGUGGCGAACGGGUGAGUAAUGCAUCGGAACGUGCCCAGUAGUGGGGGAUAGCCCGGCGAAAGCCGGAUUAAUACCGCAUACGACCUGAGGGUGAAAGCGGGGGACCGAAAGGCCUCGCGCUAUUGGAGCGGCCGAUGACGGAUUAGCUAGUUGGUGGGGUAAAGGCUUACCAAGGCGACGAUCCGUAGCUGGUCUGAGAGGACGACCAGCCACACUGGGACUGAGACACGGCCCAGACUCCUACGGGAGGCAGCAGUGGGGAAUUUUGGACAAUGGGGGCAACCCUGAUCCAGCCAUGCCGCGUGCGGGAAGAAGGCCUUCGGGUUGUAAACCGCUUUUGUUCGGGAAGAAAUCCUCUGGGCUAAUACCCCGGGGGGAUGACGGUACCGGAAGAAUAAGCACCGGCUAACUACGUG